GACGAACGCUGGCGGCGUGCUUAACACAUGCAAGUCGAGCGGUAAGGCCCUUCGGGGUACACGAGCGGCGAACGGGUGAGUAACACGUGGGCGACCUGCCCUCAGCUCUGGGAUAAGCCCGGGAAACUGGGUCUAAUACCGGAUAGGACCUCUCAUCGCAUGGUGGGUGGUGGAAAGUUUUUCGGCUGAGGAUGGGCCCGCGGCCUAUCAGCUUGUUGGUGGGGUGAUGGCCUACCAAGGCGACGACGGGUAGCCGGCCUGAGAGGGCGACCGGCCACACUGGGACUGAGACACGGCCCAGACUCCUACGGGAGGCAGCAGUGGGGAAUAUUGCGCAAUGGGCGAAAGCCUGACGCAGCGACGCCGCGUGGGGGAUGACGGCCUUCGGGUUGUAAACCUCUUUCGACCGGGACGAAGCGCAAGUGACGGUACCGGUAGAAGAAGCACCGGCCAACUACGUG
Molecule: ribosomal RNA, 461 nt
Filed under: uncultured Pseudonocardia sp.
Lineage: Bacteria; Bacillati; Actinomycetota; Actinomycetes; Pseudonocardiales; Pseudonocardiaceae
Description: bacterial SSU rRNA
Rfam family: Bacterial small subunit ribosomal RNA
Source: RNAcentral